GCAAUCGGUUAGAUGGAUGAUGACGCUGGAUUUUGAUAGUCUACCUUACCCCGGAGUUAACAAGGUAAACCUACAAGAUAGAAAUGAAUUUUUGUGGUAGAUGGUUCUGAAGAGAUAGCACCGUUUUAAGAUGAAGGUGGAGGUGUAGCUUUGAAGAAGAGAAGAGUUUUGGAACAUUCUAUUUAUGAAGCAGAAAUGUGAAUCCUGAGGCCUGUACAAAGUAAUAGACGCUGGGAGCAUUUACACCCAGUCAGCUUGAAGAGUCUCAAAUGGACCCUACCUCAGAAAUCAAGAUGGCUGUCUACUCUGGGGAAUUGAGGAAAAUGGAUUAAUCCAAGAAUUGCUGUGAUAAUACACAACCAAGACAGGGUUCCUUUAACAUGGAUCCCAUGAAUUGAAAGAAGAUAAUAGGUUUCUUAACUCAACCAAAUGGACAAUGGAUUUGACUUUCUAAAGACUUGGAAUUAUUAAAACAAGGACAUUUUUGGCAUUUAAAGAUGGCACAUUAACAUAGAUGAUAGCCCGUAUGCCUGGAUGUUUUUACAGUUAAAUUUGUAUUGAGUAUGAUCUUAUGGAAUGUUAACCUUAAUAAAAUUUCUAACUUUUAAAAUUU
Long non-coding RNA from Echinops telfairi (small Madagascar hedgehog), 613 nucleotides. RefSeq lists it as uncharacterized. The record is from RefSeq and is a predicted model, not a curated record. NCBI's taxonomy places the organism in Eukaryota, Metazoa, Chordata, Mammalia, Afrosoricida, Tenrecidae. The transcript is spliced from 5 exons.